This is a long non-coding RNA of Thrips palmi, 713 nucleotides long. RefSeq lists it as uncharacterized. NCBI's taxonomy places the organism in Eukaryota, Metazoa, Arthropoda, Insecta, Thysanoptera, Thripidae. The transcript has 3 exons. The record is from RefSeq and is a predicted model, not a curated record.
GCCGAGCUGAGAGCGGCAGCGGCUUGAGGGUGGUGGCUGGAGGCUGCGUGUGUGUGAGUGAGUGUGUGUGUGAGUGGAGCGAGGAGGGCAAGACACCACGGAGACGGGCUGGACAGAGGCGGGAGGGAGUGCGGUGUUGUGUCAGUGAUGGCCUUGAGGAGGAUGCUGCCGAGGUGACACCCAUGCGCGCACCACGCAGCUGCAGCACGGCGGCCGCCUUCGGGGACAACAAGGACAAGAGGCCGCUGCGCCGCGACGAGCGCCGAACACCGCGCCGAUGAGCUGCCUGGAGAGGAUGGCGGGGAGAGGAGGCGGCCCGCCGCGCGCGCUGUGACCGCUGUGACGAGACCGCCAAGACCGCCGAGACGCACCGCCAACGCCACGGCACUGUUUUUGCCGGCACUGCGCGACCCCCACCCACACCCCCACCCCCAACCCCCAGCCCCAAGCCAAGCCAACAGAACCGGAUGCAGGGCGAGGAUGACGGCGCACGACCCAGCGGACCCAGCGGACCCAGCCGACCCGAUGGCCCGGUGAUCAGCGGCAGCCUUGCGGUGCCGUCCUCGCCGCCCUCGCCGUCCUCGCGGCACCAGGAUCCCCAGGAGCAUCUCGUGACCCAGAGCGCCCCCUCCCCCUCCCCCGCCCCCAUCCCUGGCGGGCCCUAGCGACGGAGCAGUCAUGUGCCAGCAGGGCUCUGCCCCUGCCGGCCCCUC